ACAUUGCCUAAUGGAUAAGGCAUUGGCCUCCUAAGCCAGGGAUUGUGGGUUCAUGUCUCAUCUGU
Non-coding RNA from Alligator mississippiensis (American alligator), 65 nucleotides. NCBI's taxonomy places the organism in Eukaryota, Metazoa, Chordata, Crocodylia, Alligatoridae. The record is from Rfam.